AAUGGCCAGUGUUUUCAACUUAU
Molecule: non-coding RNA, 23 nt
Filed under: Arabidopsis thaliana (thale cress)
Lineage: Eukaryota; Viridiplantae; Streptophyta; Magnoliopsida; Brassicales; Brassicaceae
Source: RNAcentral